RNAcentral lists this ribosomal RNA (582 nucleotides) under Pseudomonas sp. StFRB141. RNAcentral's name for it is "bacterial SSU rRNA". It matches the Rfam family "Bacterial small subunit ribosomal RNA", at positions 102 to 680 of the family's 1533-position model. Lineage: Bacteria; Pseudomonadati; Pseudomonadota; Gammaproteobacteria; Pseudomonadales; Pseudomonadaceae. The record is from RNAcentral.
ACGGGUGAGUAAUGCCUAGGAAUCUGCCUGGUAGUGGGGGAUAACGUUCGGAAACGAACGCUAAUACCGCAUACGUCCUACGGGAGAAAGCAGGGGACCUUCGGGCCUUGCGCUAUCAGAUGAGCCUAGGUCGGAUUAGCUAGUUGGUGAGGUAAUGGCUCACCAAGGCGACGAUCCGUAACUGGUCUGAGAGGAUGAUCAGUCACACUGGAACUGAGACACGGUCCAGACUCCUACGGGAGGCAGCAGUGGGGAAUAUUGGACAAUGGGCGAAAGCCUGAUCCAGCCAUGCCGCGUGUGUGAAGAAGGUCUUCGGAUUGUAAAGCACUUUAAGUUGGGAGGAAGGGCAGUUACCUAAUACGUGAUUGUUUUGACGUUACCGACAGAAUAAGCACCGGCUAACUCUGUGCCAGCAGCCGCGGUAAUACAGAGGGUGCAAGCGUUAAUCGGAAUUACUGGGCGUAAAGCGCGCGUAGGUGGUUCGUUAAGUUGGAUGUGAAAUCCCCGGGCUCAACCUGGGAACUGCAUUCAAAACUGUCGAGCUAGAGUAUGGUAGAGGGUGGUGGAAUUUCCUGUGUAGCG